GAUGAACGCUAGCUACAGGCUUAACACAUGCAAGUCGAGGGGAAACGACAUCGAAAGCUUGCUUUUGGUGGGCGUCGACCGGCGCACGGGUGAGUAACGCGUAUCCAACCUGCCCACCACUUGGGGAUAACCUUGCGAAAGUAAGACUAAUACCCGAUGAUAUCCCACGAAGGCAUCCGAAUGGGAUUAAAGAUUUAUCGGUGAUGGAUGGGGAUGCGUCUGAUUAGCUUGUUGGCGGGGUAACGGCCCACCAAGGCAACGAUCAGUAGGGGUUCUGAGAGGAAGGUCCCCCCACAUUGGAACUGAGACACGGUCCAAACUCCUACGGGAGGCAGCAGUGAGGAAUAUUGGUCAAUGGGCGAGAGCCUGAACCAGCCAAGUAGCGUGCAGGAUGACGGCCCUAUGGGUUGUAAACUGCUUUUAUAAGGGAAUAAAGUGGGUCUCGUGAGACUUUUCGCAUGUACCUUAUGAAUAAGGACCGGCUAAUUCCGUG
RNAcentral lists this ribosomal RNA (493 nucleotides) under uncultured bacterium. Its description in RNAcentral is "bacterial SSU rRNA". It matches the Rfam family "Bacterial small subunit ribosomal RNA", at positions 28 to 507 of the family's 1533-position model. The record is from RNAcentral.